AAUGGGUCAGCGACUUAUAUUCUGUAGCAAGGUUAACCGAAUAGGGGAGCCGAAGGGAAACCGAGUCUUAACUGGGCGUUAAGUUGCAGGGUAUAGACCCGAAACCCGGUGAUCUAGCCAUGGGCAGGUUGAAGGUUGGGUAACACUAACUGGAGGACCGAACCGACUAAUGUUGAAAAAUUAGCGGAUGACUUGUGGCUGGGGGUGAAAGGCCAAUCAAACCGGGAGAUAGCUGGUUCUCCCCGAAAGCUAUUUAGGUAGCGCCUCGUGAAUUCAUCUCCGGGGGUAGAGCACUGUUUCGGCAAGGGGGUCAUCCCGACUUACCAACCCGAUGCAAACUGCGAAUACCGGAGAAUGUUAUCACGGGAGACACACGGCGGGUGCUAACGUCCGUCGUGAAGAGGGAAACAACCCAGACCGCCAGCUAAGGUCCCAAAGUCAUGGUUAAGUGGGAAACGAUGUGGGAAGGCCCAGACAGCCAGGAUGUUGGCUUAGAAGCAGCCAUCAUUUAAAGAAAGCGUAAUAGCUCACUGGUCGAGUCGGCCUGCGCGGAAGAUGUAACGGGGCUAAACCAUGCACCGAAGCUGCGGCAGCGACGCUUAUGCGUUGUUGGGUAGGGGAGCGUUCUGUAAGCCUGCGAAGGUGUGCUGUGAGGCAUGCUGGAGGUAUCAGAAGUGCGAAUGCUGACAUAAGUAACGAUAAAGCGGGUGAAAAGCCCGCUCGCCGGAAGACCAAGGGUUCCUGUCCAACGUUAAUCGGGGCAGGGUGAGUCGACCCCUAAGGCGAGGCCGAAAGGCGUAGUCGAUGGGAAACAGGUUAAUAUUCCUGUACUUGGUGUUACUGCGAAGGGGGGACGGAGAAGGCUAUGUUGGCCGGGCGACGGUUGUCCCGGUUUAAGCGUGUAGGCUGGUUUUCCAGGCAAAUCCGGAAAAUCAAGGCUGAGGCGUGAUGACGAGGCACUACGGUGCUGAAGCAACAAAUGCCCUGCUUCCAGGAAAAGCCUCUAAGCAUCAGGUAACAUCAAAUCGUACCCCAAACCGACACAGGUGGUCAGGUAGAGAAUACCAAGGCGCUUGAGAGAACUCGGGUGAAGGAACUAGGCAAAAUGGUGCCGUAACU
RNAcentral lists this ribosomal RNA (1119 nucleotides) under Escherichia coli. RNAcentral describes it as "partial 23S ribosomal RNA". It matches the Rfam family "Bacterial large subunit ribosomal RNA", at positions 614 to 1735 of the family's 2925-position model. The record is from RNAcentral. Lineage: Bacteria; Pseudomonadati; Pseudomonadota; Gammaproteobacteria; Enterobacterales; Enterobacteriaceae.